RNAcentral lists this unclassified non-coding RNA (314 nucleotides) under Hevea brasiliensis (rubber tree). Lineage: Eukaryota; Viridiplantae; Streptophyta; Magnoliopsida; Malpighiales; Euphorbiaceae. The record is from RNAcentral.
GCAAGUCAUCCUUGGCUACCAAACAAGAUUCCUUUUUUCAUGUAAAGCUUCUCUUCCUCUCUAAUUUCCACCUCCAAUAUACAUGCAUAUAUAGAAGCAAUACCUUGUUGGUUGGGGAAGAAGAGAAGAGAAGAGAAGGUCUAGCAUGAAGAAGAAGAGCCUGUCAAAUUAGCCAAGGUGACUGCCUGAAAACCUACUCACGGGUUGUGACCACAACCCAAUUAUGGCUAGGAGCAGGCAAGUCAUCCUUGGCCAUCAAACAGACUCUUAUCUUCAUGUUAUGCCUCUCUUCCUCUUAAUGAUUUCAUUCGUAA